CUAAGGAAAGAAGAGAAACUUUUCCUAUUCAAUUGUGAGUGACCUAUUUUGGGUUACUUAAGAAAUAAUUUGGGACUAUAGCUCAGUUGGUUAGAGUGCACGCCUGAUAAGCGUGAGGUCGAUGGUUCGAAUCCAUUUAGUCCCACCACGAAUGAUCUUUGAAAAUUGCAUAUAGAUAAUCAAAUAAAUGCGAAGAAAAGGUAGCAAGUUAAAUUAUUAGCUAUGCCUAAUAAUUUAAGAGCUGGAAAUAAGAGAGAAAUAAUAAUA
This 267-nucleotide unclassified non-coding RNA is filed under the name uncultured bacterium. Its description in RNAcentral is "16S-23S ribosomal RNA intergenic spacer". The stretch from base 72 to 145 matches the Rfam family "tRNA". The record is from RNAcentral.